CAGCCGCCGCGGGAAUACGAGGGGGGCAAGCGUUGUUCGGAAUUAUUGGGCGUAAAGGGCGCGUAGGCGGUUUGGCAAGUUUGGUGUGAAAUCUUCGGGCUCAACUCGAAGUCUGCACCGAAAACUGCCGGGCUUGAGUAUGGGAGAGGUGAGUGGAAUUUCCGGUGUAGCGGUGAAAUGCGUAGAUAUCGGAAGGAACACCUGUGGCGAAAGCGGCUCACUGGACCAUUACUGACGCUGAGGCGCGAAAGCUAGGGGAGCAAACAGGAUUAGAUACCCCCGUAGUCCCUGUCUCUUAUAC
RNAcentral lists this ribosomal RNA (301 nucleotides) under uncultured bacterium. RNAcentral describes it as "partial 16S ribosomal RNA". It matches the Rfam family "Bacterial small subunit ribosomal RNA", at positions 509 to 807 of the family's 1533-position model. The record is from RNAcentral.